AGUGACACUCCCAAACACCGCCCUGCUGCACCUCUCCAGUGCCCAGGUGGGGAAGCUCCGCGUCUCUCCCCACCGCCUCCUUCCCCCACAAUCCCGGGCUCAUUUACCCGCAACGCGGCCACCCGCGUCUUCUCUCUCCCCAGGACUUAGAGAGCAGAAAGUCUCCUCUGCCAGAGCAGGGAGACCCGGCCACGCCAGUGCACUGGCUUCCUCCCCUCCCCCGACCCUUUCGGUCCAGGAACCACAAAAUCCCUGGAGCCCUAACUAUUAUUUCAGACAUUUCCUAGGGAGCCAUAACCUAGACCAGGUUAACCUAUGGCCAGAACCUGAGGGAGUCCAUGGAAGACAUCAGUACAAAGAACCUUACAUCUAAAUGAGGAAGACUUCACCAAGUCUCUGAAAACUACUGAUCUGGAUCCUACAAUUGCAGAGCAUCAAACUAAAGAGAUUCUUAAGCUAGUACAAAAGGAGAGGCUGCUUAAGGAAAUGUCAUUCUCCCAGAGAGAACUGAAAUCCAUGUGGCUCCAGAACCAUUGCCAAUACAUGACUGUUGAAAGGGAAGGAAGUUCCUCAAAAUUCUGACAACAUUAUAUGACACAUGAAAACAUGCUCCAUAGCACUCACAAUAAAAGACAUGAAAAUAAUUUUGCCA
RNAcentral lists this long non-coding RNA (652 nucleotides) under Monodelphis domestica (gray short-tailed opossum). RNAcentral describes it as "lncRNA (ENSMODG00000030547.2)". Lineage: Eukaryota; Metazoa; Chordata; Mammalia; Didelphimorphia; Didelphidae. The record is from RNAcentral.